Molecule: long non-coding RNA, 1282 nt
Organism: Bos taurus (domestic cattle)
Lineage: Eukaryota; Metazoa; Chordata; Mammalia; Artiodactyla; Bovidae
Source: Ensembl
CGGUUCAGUGGCUUCUCCAUCAGUUCAUCAUCCUUGUGAUUGACAGCACAGACCGGGACCGGCUGCUGACCACUCGAGAGGAGCUGUAUAAGAUGCUGGCCCAUGAGGCUCUACACGAUGCGCCCAUCCUCAUCUUUGCCAAUAAGCAGGACAUGAAGGACUCCAUGACCAUCGUGGAGAUCUCCAGUUCCUCACCCUAGUGCCAUCAAAGACCACCCGUGGCACAUACAGGGCUGCUGUGCCCUCACCGGGGAAGGGCUGCCUGCCGGGCUGCAGUGGAUGCAGUCUCAGGCCACUGCCAGUUGAUGUCCCAGACUGAGGCCAACCAGAAACUUGGAGGGUUUUGCAUGGACUAUGUGGGUAGAAAACCCAAGUGACUAUUAUUUUUCUAUGACGCUGUAGUGACCAGGGGCAUCUAUGGAUGGUGAGAUUGCUACUGUCCACCCAACCCCCCCACUGAGGAGCUAGAUGGAGCACCCUGAGUUGCUGCAGACAGGACAGCAGAAAAGCUGCCCUUCACUCCAUGGAAGCAGGCAUCCUUCUUAGAGACACCAGGGGAGCUGUUGGAUGUGUUGGGGGAUCAGGAAGUGGAGCCCCCUCCCUCAGCCCUCAACCUCUCUGUAGGAAAAAUGGAGGGCCGAGUAAGAGACCCCUGGAAUUGUUCUUUAUUUCCUAGACCUCUACCCCAACCCUUUAACCCCCACUCCAGCUUUCCGGCCCCUUAGCCAUCUUUGUCCCAUACGCUUCAGUCAAAGGAGAUGCUAGAAAGGUGAAGAGGCUGGCUCAGGGGUUGCUCAGUCGUGUCCAACUCUUUGCGACCCCAUGGACCGUAGCCUACCAGGCUCCUCCCUCCAUGGGAUUCUCCAGGAAAGAGUACUGGAGCGGAUUGCCAUUUCCCUCUCCAGGGGAUCUUCCUGACCUGGGUCUCCCUCAUUCCAGGCAGAGGCUUUAACUUCUGAACCACCAGGGAAGGGGGGCAGAGCCAAAGCCUGAGAGGGGAGAGGGUGGAGGACUGGACGUUCCAGCCAGAGACGGGUCCUCACACUGCAGGGGGUUCCACUCCUUCCCCACCUUCCCAUUCCCUCUGAGACGCUGGGUCUGACCACAGCUUUUGAGCUUUAAGCUACCCCUUCACUCCCAGUAUCCUUCCAGUGUGAAUCCCACUCCUCCCAAUACCCCAGAUUCCUACAGCAUUUGUUUAUCUUGUCUUUUUGUAGUGAUUUUUUUCCCACACCGUAGUAGGAAUUUUAUGAAGGUAUAAUAAAUGCCAUUGAAAACUGCU